Molecule: ribosomal RNA, 253 nt
Filed under: uncultured bacterium
Lineage: Bacteria
Description: partial 16S ribosomal RNA
Rfam family: Bacterial small subunit ribosomal RNA
Source: RNAcentral
UACAGAGACUGCAAGCGUUAUUCGGAUUCACUGGGCGUAAAGGGUGCGCAGGCGGCCAAGUGUGUGAGGCGUGAAAGCCCGGGGCUUAACCCCGGAAUUGCACCUCAAACUACAUGGCUAGAGCAUUGGAGAGGGUAGCGGAAUUCAUGGUGUAGCAGUGAAAUGCGUAGAUAUCAUGAGGAAUACCAGAGGCGAAGGCGGCUACCUGGACAAUUGCUGACGCUCAGGCACGAAAGCGUGGGGAGCAAAAGGG